CCUACGGGAGGCAGCAGUGAGGAAUAUUGGUCAAUGGACGCAAGUCUGAACCAGCCAAGCCGCGUGCGGGAAGAAGGCUCUAUGAAUUGUAAACUGCUUUUGUAAGGGGGUAAAUCCCGAUACGUGUAUGGGGUGGAAAGUAUCGUAAGAAUAAGGAUCGGCUAACUCCGUGCCAGCAGCCGCGGUAAUACGGAGGAUUCGAGCGUUAUCCGGAUUUAUUGGGUUUAAAGGGUGCGUAGGCGGUUUUAUAAGUUAGCGGUUAAAUCCCGGGGCUCAACUCCGGCACUGCCUUUGAUACUGUCGGUCUAGAGUUUAGUUGCGGUAGGCGGAAUGUAUGGUGUAGCGGUGAAAUGCAUAGAGAUCAUACAGAACACCGAUUGCGAAGGCAGCAUACCAACCUACGACUGACGCUGAGGCACGAAAGCGUGGGUAGCAAACAGGAUUAGAUACCCCUGUAGUC
RNAcentral lists this ribosomal RNA (460 nucleotides) under uncultured bacterium. RNAcentral describes it as "partial 16S ribosomal RNA". It matches the Rfam family "Bacterial small subunit ribosomal RNA", at positions 338 to 795 of the family's 1533-position model. The record is from RNAcentral.